Molecule: long non-coding RNA, 1992 nt
Filed under: Oreochromis niloticus (Nile tilapia)
Lineage: Eukaryota; Metazoa; Chordata; Actinopteri; Cichliformes; Cichlidae
Description: lncRNA (ENSONIG00000033577.1)
Source: RNAcentral
AUGGCGGCGCGUGAACAACGCGAGGCUCAGUGUCUCUCCAGAAUCUGCUAUUUAGCGGUUUUUUAUCUACUUUUAACCGGAUUAUUCAACCAGAAUUGCUGUGCGUUGCUGACCUACAGCAGACAAGAGAUUCUGGACAUCUGGACUCAUAACUCCAACAGUUUUAUCGCCGAUCUCCGACUCAUCCCAGAGAUCUCCAGAACACCGGAGGCUGCCCACUCUCCCCGGCCGGGCGGAAGUGCACGCAGACGGCGCCGAGAACGUAAACAAAGGCGAGGUAGGCGCGGAGGGCUACGGGCUAAGCUAAAGCUAACACCACAUCGGCUGCCUUUACCCAGUAUUUUCCUCGCCAAUGUCCGUUCUCUGGCAAACAAAAUGGAUGAGAUACGGCUCUCCAUCACUAACAACAGACGGAUUAUGGACUCAAAUGUCAUGUUUUUCACCGAAACAUGGUUGAACAACAGCUGCCCGGACAAUGCUAUCGAGUUAGCAGGACGCCACACACACCGAGCCGACAGGCUAGCAGAUGACUCCGGCAAGACCACAGGUGGAGGUUUGUGCAUUUAUAUUAACAAUGCUUGGUGCAUGAACUCCACUACUACUGAGAGUCACUGCUCACCUAAUGCGGAGUUUUUAAUGGUCAAAUGCAGACCUUACUAUCUCCCCAGAGAGCUCACUUCGAUCAUACUCACUGCAGUAUAUAUCCCCCCCGACGCUAAUGCUAGGUUGGCCAUGAAAGAACUUUCUGCAGCCAUUAACAAACACCAGAAUAAACACCCCGAGGCUGCUUUUAUUGUUGCUGGCGACUUCAACCACACCAACUUAAAGACAGUCCUCCCCAGAUUCCACCAACAUGUCUCCUGCCACACCAGAGGAGACAAGACUUUAGACCAUGUUUAUUCCAACUUGGCUGGAGCCUACAAAGCAACACCCCUCCCCCACAUUGGACAAUCGGACCAUCUCUCCCUGUUCCUCACACCUAGGUAUUCACCACUCAUCCAACGUGUGAAACCUGCUGUGAGGACAAUUAAAGUGUGGCCAGAGGGGACAGACGCAGUGCUCCAGGACAGAUUUAAAAACACAGACUGGAAUAUGUUCACCCACACAGACCUGGACCAGUACGCCUCAUCUGUACUGGAUUACAUCUCCGAAACCACAGACAGUGUCACCACCCAGAAACGGAUCACCAUGUACCCCAACCAGAAGCCUUGGAUGAACCGGGAUGUUCGUCUCCUCCUGAAGGCCCGCAACACCGCCUUUAGGUCAGGAGAUGCACACGCCUACAGUACAGCCAGGGCUAAUCUAAAGAAGGGCAUCAAAAAAGCCAAACACCAUUACAAAAAGAAGGUAGAAGAACACUUCUCCAACUCCAACCCCCGACGCAUGUGGCAAGGACUCCAGACCAUUACAGACUACAGGACCACCAAACCCUCCCCCACAUCCUCUGAUGCCUCCUUCCUCAACGAGCUCAACAACUUUUAUGCUCGUUUUGAGCAAGGGAACCCCACAGCCACAACCAUAACAGACAUGACGCCAGACCACCAACCUCUGACUCUCUCCCCCACCGAUGUAGGAGCGGUGCUGAGCAGGAUCAAUGUCCACGAGGCUGCAGGUCCUGAUGGUAUCCCCGAGCGUGUUCUCAGAGCGUGUUCUGGGGAGCUUGCAGGAGUGCUCACAGACAUAUUCAACCUGUCCUUGGCCCACGCUGUGGUACCGGCCUGCUUCAAAUCCACCUCCAUCAUCCCGAUACCCAAAAACUCCAACCCAUCUAGCCUCAAUGACUACCGCCCAGUAGCACUCACCCCCAUCAUCACUAAGUGCUUAGAGCAGCUGGUCUUAGCACACUUCAAAUCCUGUCUCCCCCCACCCUGGACCCCCACCAAUUUGCAUACCGCCAGAACAGGAGCACAGAGGAUGCAGUCUCCAUCGCACUGCACUCUGUCCUCACACACCUGGACAACAACAACACCUACGCCAGAAUGCUGUUUAUAG